GGCCGCUGCGCCAGGCCGCACCGCGAACCAGGCGCGCUGUCCCAGUUCGGGUUCGCCUCACCCGCUCCACCCGCAAUGCCGCCCGACUAACGAGAUAACAGCUGUCCGGACUGCGCAGGCUUCCCGCCGUCCGAUGUUUCACCUUGUAAAAAAUCUGGUGACUGGUAGAGUGGUGGGCAUCAGACCUCGAGGCUGAUCCCCUACUCGCUGGACCGAUCAAGUAAAGUCCCUUACGGGUUUAACAUCACCCAGACGUAGAGGCUUGCCGAAGACAGGGGAGAAUGUAGGUAGUUGUGUGGCGCCGCUAACACGACCUUCACAAGUGUGAGACUGAAGAAGAAGAUAUGUUAAUCGGACUAAUAUGGAUUAGUGAAAUAAAACAAACAUAUUA
Molecule: long non-coding RNA, 391 nt
Organism: Pieris napi
Lineage: Eukaryota; Metazoa; Arthropoda; Insecta; Lepidoptera; Pieridae
Exons: 2
Source: RefSeq, a predicted model, not a curated record